Triplophysa dalaica is the source of this 904-nucleotide long non-coding RNA. RefSeq lists it as uncharacterized. The record is from RefSeq and is a predicted model, not a curated record. The transcript has 3 exons. NCBI's taxonomy places the organism in Eukaryota, Metazoa, Chordata, Actinopteri, Cypriniformes, Nemacheilidae.
GAAAUAAAUCGGAUGCUGAAGGUCCGACAGACGCUGGCGCGCUCCGUAGAAAUGAGGAAGACGCGGAGACUUCAAACUGAGACUUCACCCUCCCCGCGUGCGCACUGGCAAACAGGAGAGGAGCGAGAGAUAUCUUGGAGUACGUUGACAGCUACGAUACGGAUUGUGACAUCUCGGCUUGUCCUCUCUUUUCCCUGAAGUGCCAUCCGCGCCAGCACCGACAAUGUCAAUCACAGAAAAUAGAUGCAACUGCCACAGACUGCUGUGACUCUUUUGUUUGCGAAUGACUGAAAUCUGACAGAUCGAACGAUAGACCAGGCACCCUGCCAAAGCCCAACAGACUACCAAUGGCUAUUGGACAUUCUCUAGAAGAACUUCGAACUUUCAUCGUGUUAUUCCAUGUUAAUCCUUGAUAAGUAAAAAGCAGAUUUUUUCCACACAUCGUGUGGUGAUACGAGCAAUUCAUCUUGCAAUUGAGAUCUUUCCACCAAAACAAAAAUGUGGAUAGCAAGGAUCAAGCACAAAGGGUCAUUAUUGGCAGAUUGUCAUUCCAAGAACUCCUAUCAGUCACACUCACCUGCAGUUCUUAUCCCGUUGUCAAAUAAAAUCACUGUCUGGUUUUUAACCUCUUUCUCAUAGUCUACUUCCUGUUAAAAUUAUGUUGUGACAAAUGUACAGUAUGCUUCACAAAGAGCAAAAUGAUUAUUUAAUCACAGAUGGGUGUGUUUGGAGCUGUCCCAGGAACCCGGUGAAUCCACAGCGCACGCCGCUGAUAAUAGGUUUAUUACACAGCUACUAUCAAACCUAAAUGGGUUCAGUACAAACUUUAGAGCAAUUUAAAUUCUUUAAAAUGCCACUGUAUGAAAAUUGUUUUACUGAUGAUCUGCUGUGUGCUGCAUUGACA